Molecule: ribosomal RNA, 440 nt
Filed under: uncultured bacterium
Lineage: Bacteria
Description: partial 16S ribosomal RNA
Rfam family: Bacterial small subunit ribosomal RNA
Source: RNAcentral
CCUACGGGUGGCAGCAGUGGGGAAUAUUGCACAAUGGUGGAAACCCUGAUGCAGCGACGCCGCGUGAGUGAAGAAGUAUUUCGGUAUGUAAAGCUCUAUCAGCAGGGAAGAAAAUGACGGUACCUGAUUAAGAAGCCCCGGCUAACUACGUGCCAGGAACCGCGGUAAUACGUAGGGGGCAAGGGUUAUCCGGAUUUACUGGGUGUAAAGGGAGCGUAGACGGCAGCACAAGUCUGGAGUGAAAUGGCGGGGCUUAACCCCGGAACUGCUUUGGAAACUGGGCAGCUAGAGUGCAGGAGAGGUAAGUGGAAUGCGUGGUGUAGCGGUGAAAUGCGUAGAUAUUAGGAGGAACACCAGUGGCGAAGGCAGCUUACUGGACUGUAACUGACGUUGAGGCUCGAAAGCGUGGGGAGCGAACAGGAUUAGAUACCCUUGUAGUC